This 301-nucleotide ribosomal RNA is filed under the name uncultured bacterium. Its description in RNAcentral is "partial 16S ribosomal RNA". It matches the Rfam family "Bacterial small subunit ribosomal RNA", at positions 509 to 808 of the family's 1533-position model. The record is from RNAcentral.
CAGUCGCCGCGGUAAUACGUAGGUCCCGAGCGUUGUCCGGAUUUAUUGGGCGUAAAGGGAGCGCAGGCGGCUUAGUAAGUCUGAAGUUAAAGGCAUUGGCUCAACCAAUGUAUGCUUUGGAAACUGUUAGACUUGAGUGCAGAAGGGGAGAGUGGAAUUCCAUGUGUAGCGGUGAAAUGCGUAGAUAUAUGGAGGAACACCGGUGGCGAAAGCGGCUCUCUGGUCUGUCACUGACGCUGAGGCUCGAAAGCGUGGGUAGCGAACAGGAUUAGAUACCCCAGUAGUCCCUGUCUCUUAUACA